CCUACGGGAGGCUGCAGUCGAGAAUCAUUCACAAUGGGGGAAACCCUGAUGGUGCGACGCCGCGUGGGGGAAUGAAGGUCUUCGGAUUGUAAACCCCUGUCAUGUGGGAGCAAAUUAAAAAGAUAGUACCACAAGAGGAAGAGACGGCUAACUCUGUGCCAGCAGCCGCGGUAAUACAGAGGUCUCAAGCGUUGUUCGGAAUCACUGGGCGUAACGCGUGCGUAGGCUGUUUCGUAGGUCGUGUGUGAAAGGCGCGGGCUCAACCCGCGGACGGCACAUGAUACUGCGAGACUAGAGUAAUGGAGGGGGAACCGGAAUUCUCGGUGUAGCAGUGAAAUGCGUAGAUAUCGAGAGGAACACUCGUGGCGAAGGCGGGUUCCUGGACAUUAACUGACGCUGAGGCACGAAGGCCAGGGGAGCGAAAGGGAUUAGAUACCCCAGUAGUC
Molecule: ribosomal RNA, 446 nt
Filed under: uncultured bacterium
Lineage: Bacteria
Description: partial 16S ribosomal RNA
Rfam family: Bacterial small subunit ribosomal RNA
Source: RNAcentral